Long non-coding RNA from Misgurnus anguillicaudatus (oriental weatherfish), 873 nucleotides. RefSeq lists it as uncharacterized. Lineage: Eukaryota; Metazoa; Chordata; Actinopteri; Cypriniformes; Cobitidae. The record is from RefSeq and is a predicted model, not a curated record.
UGAUAAUUGUUUUUAGUUUUCCUGAUUAAUGGUAGCCUAUGUAAACUGAUUUUAAGUAGUGUAAUGAAAAGUUAAGCUCAGAAAUUUUUCCCUAAUAAAAUAAGGGAAGGGGAGAAGCAUAUUUUAAUGUUAAGAAUAGGUUUGUAGAGGCGUAAAGUGCCAUUAGCCUAUUGAAUGUAAGUAUCUGGGCUAUUAAGUUUAUACUGAAAUAUUUUCUAUGUAUGUAAUAUUUCAACAAACACAUAAUUGAUUAAUUAAUGGUCAAAUACUAAAUUGAAAUUUUAUUAAAAAAAAUUAAUAAGCUGUAAAGCUUGUCAAUUUGUUUACUUUAUUACAACUACAAUUUUUCAGCCCUUUUCCAGAAUUUGAACUAAUUUGAUCAUAAAGAUUGAUCUAUUUAUAAUUUAUCGAGUACAAUUUGUAGACAAUUAAAGCUGGUUAAAGGAACUUUUAUUUUGGAAAAAGAAGUGCUGCUGUUUCAAGACAUGCGCACUAGCUGCGACAUCUAGUGACGACAUUUACCAGGCUUUAACGGUUGUUGCUGCAUGAAGUGCAAUUUCUCUGAGCUAAAUGCUAUCGAAGCGUCGCAGCGCGCUCCAGCGCUUACGUGCACGCACACAGAUGAUAGAGGGAUGUAUCAACAGUUCUUAGUUAAGAAUCUGUCAGAAGAAAUUCAAGUACUGUUCGUGCACCAGAUGGUGAAGUAGAAAAGUUCAUAAAAACCUCUGCAGCUUGCAUCUGACAGAGAUGCAAAAAGAAGAAGAGAGGGGGCCUGAAAACAAGCAAAUUCAAGGGUACACUUGAGGAGUGUCCAGAUGUUUAUUAAUGUUUUAUUAAUGUAAUGUUAUGUUUCAAAUAAACAUGUAAACAUAC